RNAcentral lists this ribosomal RNA (452 nucleotides) under uncultured Actinomycetes bacterium. RNAcentral describes it as "bacterial SSU rRNA". It matches the Rfam family "Bacterial small subunit ribosomal RNA", at positions 959 to 1411 of the family's 1533-position model. The record is from RNAcentral. Lineage: Bacteria; Bacillati; Actinomycetota; Actinomycetes.
ACGCGAAGAACCUUACCAAGGCUUGACAUAUAGAGGAAAAGCGUAGAAAUACGCUCCCCGCAAGGUCUCCUAUACAGGUGGUGCAUGGUUGUCGUCAGCUCGUGUCGUGAGAUGUUGGGUUAAGUCCCGCAACGAGCGCAACCCUCGUCCUAUGUUGCCAGCACGUAAUGGUGGGAACUCAUGGGAUACUGCCGGGGUCAACUCGGAGGAAGGUGGGGAUGACGUCAAAUCAUCAUGCCCCUUAUGUCUUGGGCUUCACGCAUGCUACAAUGGCCGGUACAGAGGGCAGCAAUACCGCAAGGUGGAGCGAAUCCCACAAAGCCGGUCUCAGUUCGGAUUGAGGUCUGCAACUCGACCUCAUGAAGUUGGAGUCGCUAGUAAUCGCAAAUCAGCAACGUUGCGGUGAAUACGUUCCCGGCCUUGGUACACACCGCCCGUCAAGUCAUGAAAGU